GUCUAUGGCCAUGCCACCCUGAACAAGCCUGAUCCCGUCUGAUCUCGAAGGCUAAGCAAGGUUGGGCCUGGUUGGUGCUUGGAUGGGAGACCACCUAGGAAAACCAGGUGCUGUAGGCG
This 119-nucleotide ribosomal RNA is filed under the name Pteropus alecto (black flying fox). The record is from RNAcentral. Lineage: Eukaryota; Metazoa; Chordata; Mammalia; Chiroptera; Pteropodidae.